RNAcentral lists this ribosomal RNA (497 nucleotides) under uncultured bacterium. RNAcentral's name for it is "partial 16S ribosomal RNA". It matches the Rfam family "Bacterial small subunit ribosomal RNA", at positions 28 to 507 of the family's 1533-position model. The record is from RNAcentral.
GACGAACGCUGGCGGCGUGCCUAAUACAUGCAAGUAGAACGCUGAAGCGAGGAGCUUCCUCUUCUUGGAUGAGUUGCGAACGGGUGAGUAACGCGUAGGUAACCUGCCUUGUAGCGGGGGAUAACUAUUGGAAACGAUAGCUAAUACCGCAUAACAAUGGAUGACACAUGUCCUUUAUUUGAAAGGGGCAAUUGCUCCACUACAAGAUGGACCUGCGUUGUAUUAGCUAGUAGGUGAGGUAAUGGCCCACCUAGGCGACGAUACAUAGCCGGCCUGGGAGGGUGGACGGCCAAACUGGGAAUGGAACACCGCCCAGACUCCUAAGGGAAGCAGCAGGAGGGGAUCUUCGGAAAUGGGGGCAACCCUGGACGAACAACGCCGCGUGGGUGAAGAAGGUUUUCGGGUCGUAAAGCUCUGUUGUAAGUCAAGAACGGGUGUGAGGGUGGAAAGUUCACACUGUGACGGUAGCUUACCAGAAAGGGACGGCUAACUACGUG